This 920-nucleotide long non-coding RNA is filed under the name Homo sapiens (human). Its description in RNAcentral is "FRMD6 antisense RNA 2". Lineage: Eukaryota; Metazoa; Chordata; Mammalia; Primates; Hominidae. The record is from RNAcentral.
UCCAGUUCCUCAGGCUGGAAUACAGUGGUGUGAUCAUAGCUCUCUGCAACCUCAAACUCCUGGACUCGUGAUCCCCCCACCUCAGCCUUCCAAGUAGUGACGACUACAGGCUUAUGCAACCACACUCAACUAAUUUUGUAAAUUUUUGUAGACACAAGGGUUCACUGUGUUGUCCAGGCUGGUCCUGGUCUCAAACUCCUGGGCUGAAGCCAUCCUUCCACCUUGGCCUCCCAAAGUGCUGGUAUUACAGGCGUGAGCCACCACGCUUGGCAGACUUUAUUUCUUAAAGAUUGCCGUCUUACUCAGCAUCUUGGAGAACUCACAAAUAAAUGUCCCUGAGUUUCGAGACAAGCCAGCCAUUAAAAUCUUUUAGGGGGAUCCAGAGAAGAUGAGUUAAAUUGGAAUGGACUUGAAAAAACUGAUUUAGUUGGAUUUAUGGAUCACAGUCAUGAAAAGGUAAAGAUACCAACUUGUUUUGUGAAUUUAAUCUUUAUUCCUUACUUUUUUGCCCCUACUGUUUGUAAUUCCUACUUUAUAAUGAAAUCCUUCUUGUGACUUAUAGAAAUUAACUGGGGAAAAUGUUUUUCUGUUCUCCAUUUCCUUUAAGUUUGUUUUUAGAUACACUGCAUUGCAAGUAUGUGUGGUACAGUAAAAUGUUGCUAAUUGUAUCUGCGCUGAUAAGAUGCCAUUUGCUCUAGGUCAGUUUCCUACCCCCUCCCCCAACUAUUCCUAGCCAGUGGUAGCAUGCUUCUUACUUCCAAAUAUAUGUGUGUGUGUGUGUGUGUGUGUGUGUGUGUGUGUGCCUGUGUGUAUCAACAAUGUGAUCCUAAAAUAAAAGAAUGACAUAUAUUUGACAUUAUUUACAUACUAAAUAUGGGAGCACAUAAAUCAAUUACAGAAUAAAAUCAAUUUUUCAAGGA